AAACUAGCUAGAAUAGAUUCUGUUCUCUGAAACAGAUCCCUGAUUGAAACACGUGGGAAGUUUUGCUGGCCAAGGUAGGGAAAUAAACUUCCUAUAUUGUCUUGGCUAUGCAAUACUAUUAAGACAGGUUUACAUCUGGUUUUCAGAAAACUGAUUUAAAUGCUAGUUUUCUAGGAAAUAUCAGUAUAUACACCAAUCUACAGUGGCUUAUGGUCCUUAAGAAUCUGUGAUGGGCUUGACUCCAAUAAUCCGUUCUAUUUCAAAGUGAAAGAAACCUUACUUGUUUUCAGGAAAUCAUGUGGCCCACAUUUCUCAGCCUCCCUUGGAGCUAAACAUGGACAUGUGACUAAGUCCCACUCAAUGAGAAGUUGUUUUGCAUGUCCUCUGGAAAAUCAUUUUAAAAAGAUAACUUUCUUCUAGCUACCUGUAGAGCAGAUAAAGCCAACAGGACAUGCUAACAGAUUUGUUGUAGGAUGUGAGAAAAAGAGAAGAACCAAGACAAACUUCAGGGAGUUUGGUCAGAGCUACUGGAGGGAUAGAUAUGUCAUCAACUGAAAUGGAGAAAGCUGUGGGUGAAGGUUUGGAGAAACAUCAGGAGUUCAGUUUUGCACGUGAGAUGGGUAUCCCUAUCUUGCCCAGCUUGGCCUUCAGCUCUGAAACUCAAGUGAUUUUCCUGUCUCAGCCUCCCAAGUAGUUGGGACUACAGGUUGCACCACUACACCUGGCUCUGAUUUAUUCUUGAAGACUCCAAAUAAAGAACUGACAGAAACUCUAAAUGUGAUGUUAUGUACUGAGUUACAACUAUUCUGAAGUAUGUUACAUGUAUUUUGUUAUUAUGAUGAUGAUUAUUUUGAGACAAGGUCUCACUCUGUCAUCCAGGCUGUAGGGCAAUGGUGUGAUCAUAGCUCACUGUAGCCUUGAACUGCUGAGUUCAAGGGCUCCUCCUGCCUCAGCUUCCUGAGUAGCUGGGACUACAGUCACAUGCCAUGGUACCUGGCUAAUUAAGAAAAUUUUUUUUUUAGAGACAGGGUCUCACUUUGUUGCCCAGGCUGGUUUUGAACUCCUGGGAUCAAGUGAUCCUCCCAAAGUGCUGGGAUUACAGGCAUGAACCACCACACCUGACCUAUUUUUCUAUUUAAUGGUCAAGAAAACUAAUGUUUUAAAAUGUUCCUUUAUUUUAUAAAUUAGAACAAAUUGCAGGUUGUCCUUUGUCACUACAGCAAACGCUUACUUGCAUUGCAAUGUCCUUUCUUAAUAAAGGAAGAAAAGUGUAAAAUUACAGCUGGCAAUUUUAUU
RNAcentral lists this long non-coding RNA (1296 nucleotides) under Papio anubis (olive baboon). RNAcentral describes it as "lncRNA (ENSPANG00000047699.1)". Lineage: Eukaryota; Metazoa; Chordata; Mammalia; Primates; Cercopithecidae. The record is from RNAcentral.